GGUUGCAGGGGGUAUGGAGACAUAUCAGGGCCAGGGUCAGGUUGCAGGGGGUUUGGAGACAUAUCAGGGCCAGGGUUAGGUUGCAGGGGGUUUGGAGACAUAUCAGGGCCAGGGUCAGGUUGCAGGGGGUUUGGAGACAUAUCAGGGCCAGGGUUAUGUUGCAGGGGGUUUGGAGACAUAUCAGGGUUAGGUUGCAGGGGGUUUGGAGACAUAUCAGGGCCAGGGUUAGGUUGCAGGGGGUUUGGAGACAUAUCAGGGCCAGGGUUAGGUUGCAGGGGGUUUGGAGACAUAUCAGGGCCAGGGUUAGGUUGCAGGGGGUUUGGAGACAUAUCAGGGCCAGGGUUAGGUUGCAGGGGGUUUGGAGACAUAUCAGGGCCAGGGUCAGGUUGCAGGGGGUUUGGAGACAUAUCAGGGCCAGGGUUAGGUUGCAGGGGGUUUGGAGACACAUCAGGGUUAGGUUGCAGGGGGUUUGGAGACAUAUCAGG
Oncorhynchus keta (chum salmon) is the source of this 485-nucleotide long non-coding RNA. RefSeq lists it as uncharacterized. The record is from RefSeq and is a predicted model, not a curated record. The transcript is spliced from 3 exons. Lineage: Eukaryota; Metazoa; Chordata; Actinopteri; Salmoniformes; Salmonidae.